GGGCCCGCACAAGCGGUGGAGCAUGUGGUUUAAUUCGAUGCAACGCGAAGAACCUUACCAGGGCUUGACAUACUACAGAUUCUUUAGAGAUAGAGAAGUGCCUUCGGGAAUGUAGAUACAGGUGGUGCAUGGCUGUCGUCAGCUCGUGUCGUGAGAUGUUGGGUUAAGUCCCGCAACGAGCGCAACCCUCGUCCUAUGUUGCCAGCACGUAAUGGUGGGAACUCAUGGGAUACUGCCGGGGUCAACUCGGAGGAAGGUGGGGAUGACGUCAAAUCAUCAUGCCCCUUAUGUCUUGGGCUUCACGCAUGCUACAAUGGCCGGUACAGAGGGCUGCAAUACCGCAAGGUGGAGCGAAUCCCAAAAAGCCGGUCUCAGUUCGGAUUGAGGUCUGCAACUCGACCUCAUG
RNAcentral lists this ribosomal RNA (406 nucleotides) under uncultured bacterium. RNAcentral describes it as "bacterial SSU rRNA". It matches the Rfam family "Bacterial small subunit ribosomal RNA", at positions 917 to 1322 of the family's 1533-position model. The record is from RNAcentral.